AAAGUCGUAACAAGGUUUCCGUAGGUGAACCUGCGGAAGGAUCAUUACAGAGUUCGUGCCCCCUGCGGGUAGAUCUCCCACCCUUGAAUAUAAUACCUUUGUUGCUUUGGCAGGCCCGCCUCGGCGUCCGGCUUCGGCUGGGAAGUGCCUGCCAAGGGACCCAAACUCUUAGAUUUUAGCGUCGUCUGAGUACUAUAUAAUAGUUAAAACUUUCAACAACGGAUCUCUUGGUUCUG
RNAcentral lists this unclassified non-coding RNA (236 nucleotides) under Ascomycota sp. RNAcentral describes it as "partial contains small subunit ribosomal RNA, internal transcribed spacer 1, and 5.8S ribosomal RNA". The stretch from base 1 to 47 matches the Rfam family "Eukaryotic small subunit ribosomal RNA", at positions 1785 to 1831 of the family's 1831-position model. Lineage: Eukaryota; Fungi; Ascomycota. The record is from RNAcentral.